This 537-nucleotide ribosomal RNA is filed under the name uncultured eukaryote. RNAcentral describes it as "bacterial SSU rRNA". It matches the Rfam family "Eukaryotic small subunit ribosomal RNA", at positions 172 to 706 of the family's 1831-position model. The record is from RNAcentral.
GCAAAAAAACCUGGACUUUACAGAACAGGUGUACUUAUUAGACUUUAAAACCGAUUACAAUUUAUUGUAAAUUUAAAAUGAAUUAAAAUAAGUUUAUGAAUCGCAGAUCAUUUUGUGAUGAUAAGAAUGAAUUUCUGCCCUAUCAACUUUCGAUGGUAAUGUAGUGGAUUACCAUGGUGAUGACGGGUAACGGGGAAUUAGGGUUUGAUUCCGGAGAAAAGGCCUGAGAGACGGCCAUUACUUCUAAGGAAGGCAGCAGGCGCGUAAAAUUACCCCAAUCCUAAUACGGGGAGGUAGUGACAAGAAAUAUUGAUAUUGGACCCAAAGGGUACAAUGAUUGAAAUGAGAACAAUAUAAAAAAACUUAACGACUAACAAUUGGAGGGCAAGUCUGGUGCCAGCAGCCGCGGUAAUUCCAGCUCCAAGAGUGUAUAUUAAAGUUGUUGCGGUUAAAAAGCUCGUAGUUGAAUUUCUGAAAAUAUCUUGUGUAUUGUAUUUAACCGUCAUGAACAAAAAUUGUUACAUACUUGAUAGAUGG